GCUUUAGCAUGUAACCGACUCAUAGCUGGAAUAGGAACAGAGCUUCCACUGCUACGCACAACACCAUUCGGAGGGCGUCCUCUAGCUGGGGAGCAAGAUUGUCGUCUAACCCUUCCAUUUGUAACUGGCUCAAUGGAUGAAGAUCUAGCACUUGGUGCUCCAGGUCUACCCCUUGUAGCUGAAGUUGGCCUGUCAGAUAGUGAUGUCCGUAGAUUUGGUGGAGCAUCAUAGGAGAGCCCUGGGAUAUCUGAAGGCUUCCAUGGUCUGGGUUUUACAGCUGGAGAACUAGGACGUGAGGCUACAGGAUUUCUCGCCGUAGUAGUUGCUGGUGUAACUGAAGACAGAGAUUUAAUUGAAGGAGCAGUAGCAUUAGCUGUACUGGACACUGAAGUAGGCCGACGAGUUGGAGUUGCUGCCCUUGAUGUGGACUUUGAUCCAGGAAUGGAUGCCCUGGUUGUGAGUGUUGAGGAGCUUCUGGUUGGUGUUGAGGACCUUGUACUAGACCUGGCUGUAGGUGUUGAAGAUCUUGUAGGAACCGUAGACUUAGCAGAAGGCAAGGUGGAACGAGAAGUUGGUGUUGAGGACCUUGCUGGCCGAGACAUGGUUGUGGUCGACGUUGUUUUAGAAGUUGCAGUGGAUGUCAUUGCUUUGGAUGCUGCAGUAGAUGUGCGUCUAGUUGCUGAUGUCAAGGAAGAUGUUGCACUUGAUGUGGUUCGUCCAGUUGGAGUUGAAGGUCUUGAUCCACCGGAUGAAGAUGGUCUUCGAAGACCUGAAUUUGAAGUAUUUAACCCGGUAGCAGAAGCAG
RNAcentral lists this unclassified non-coding RNA (805 nucleotides) under Hevea brasiliensis (rubber tree). Lineage: Eukaryota; Viridiplantae; Streptophyta; Magnoliopsida; Malpighiales; Euphorbiaceae. The record is from RNAcentral.